RNAcentral lists this ribosomal RNA (431 nucleotides) under uncultured bacterium. RNAcentral describes it as "partial 16S ribosomal RNA". It matches the Rfam family "Bacterial small subunit ribosomal RNA", at positions 28 to 507 of the family's 1533-position model. The record is from RNAcentral.
AACGAACGCUGGCGGCAGGCCUAACACAUGCAAGUCGAGCGCGCCUUCGGGUGAUCGGCGGACGGGUGAGUAACGCGUGGGAAUAUGCCCUUCUCUACGGACUAGUCCUGGGAAACUGGGGGUAAUACCGUAUACGCCCUUUGGGGGGAAGGUUUAUCGGGGAAGGAUUGGCCCGCGUUGGAUUAGGUAGUUGGUGGGGUAAUGGCCUACCAAGCCGACGAUCCAUAGCUGGGUUGAGAGGAUGAUCAGCCACGCUGGGACUGAGACACGGCCCAGACUCCUACGGGGGGGAGCAGUGGGGAAUCUUAGACAAUGGGGGCAACCCUGGUCUAGCCAUGCCGGGUGAGUGAGGAAGGCCUUAGGGUUGUAAAGCUCUUUCAGCUGGGAAGAUAAUGACGGUACCAGCAGAAGAAGCCCCGGCUAACUCCGUG